This 369-nucleotide ribosomal RNA is filed under the name uncultured Chlamydomonas. RNAcentral describes it as "partial 23S ribosomal RNA". It matches the Rfam family "Bacterial large subunit ribosomal RNA", at positions 2098 to 2465 of the family's 2925-position model. The record is from RNAcentral. Lineage: Eukaryota; Viridiplantae; Chlorophyta; Chlorophyceae; Chlamydomonadales; Chlamydomonadaceae.
GCUUGACUGUAUCUUGGAAUUGGGUUUGGGCUUUUCUUGCGCAGCCUAGGUGGGAGGCUAUGAGGAUUUCCUUCCGGGGAAGUCGGAGCCGUCAUUGAGAGACCACUCUGGAAGAGCUAGAAUCCUAAUAGGGAUCCUUGAAUCAGGACCCUUGACAGUUUCAGGUGGGCAGUUUAUUUGGGGCGAAUGCCUCCUAAAAGGUAACGGAGGCGUGCAAAGGUUCCCUCAGUCUGGACGGAAAUCAGACAUUGAGUGCAAAGGCAAAAGGGAGCUUGACUGCAAGACCUACAAGUCGAGCAGGGACGAAAGUCGGCCUUAGUGAUCCGACGGUGCCGCGUGGAAGGGCCGUCGCUCAACGGAUAAAAGUUA